AGAGCAGCCUGGCAGUGUCCAAGCAACAAGCCUCGGCCCCUCCUUCCUGCACCCUGGGGCUCCUGAAACUCACCUGGGAAGGAGGGCUUUCUGAGAUUUGAGGGAAACAAGCUCUCAGGACUUCCGGUCGCCAUGAUGGCUGUGGGCGGUAAACGGGGUUAGUGCAAGCAUCUGGGCCAUCUUCAAUGGUAAAAAAGAUACAGUAAAGACAUAAAUACCACGUUUGACAAAUGGAAAAAAAGGAGUGUCCAGAAAAGAGUAGCAGCAGUGAGAAAGAGCUGCCGAGACGGGUAUACAGGGAGCUACCCCGUGUUUCUGAGAUCCGUUAUGACAUCUCACAUUUUUUCCAAGAAGAUGAUGAGACAGAGGCAGAGCCAUUCUUGUUCCAUGCUGUUCCUGAGAGUCAACUAUGUGGGUGGGACAUUCCCAGGUAAGAAAAGCUAUUCUGUUGGAAAACUAUUGGGCGCUGUGUCUCAAUAUCACAGAGGAACAUGAGAAUUAGAGGAAUUUGGGUGUUUUUCAUCGAACUCAGGGGAGAAUGAAUGAGCUUAUGCA
Molecule: small RNA, 555 nt
Filed under: Pongo abelii (Sumatran orangutan)
Lineage: Eukaryota; Metazoa; Chordata; Mammalia; Primates; Hominidae
Description: retained intron
Source: RNAcentral